UCCAUACUACAGACGAAGAUGAGAAAACAGCAAUGGAAUUAGUGGUAACUCUUCAUUCAUGAGAAACUUGGCAUUCAACAUGUGUGAAAAACAAAACCCAUUUUAAUGUCUUCAACAGUCACCACAAAGGAAAUGUGCAGCAUCACGCGUGUUCUCUAACGACAGCGCUGCUUGGAACCACGUUCCUCUUUGAUAGUCUAGGAUUCUCUAAAGAUGAAAACCACUAUACUUCACUUAUAAAAGGCAAGGAUGACUUCUAACAAUACAGGAGAUCUUCAAAGACUGCCUCAGUU
This is a non-coding RNA of Myodes glareolus (Bank vole), 293 nucleotides long. NCBI's taxonomy places the organism in Eukaryota, Metazoa, Chordata, Mammalia, Rodentia, Cricetidae. The record is from RefSeq and is a predicted model, not a curated record.